RNAcentral lists this ribosomal RNA (253 nucleotides) under Zoogloeaceae bacterium. RNAcentral's name for it is "partial 16S ribosomal RNA". It matches the Rfam family "Bacterial small subunit ribosomal RNA", at positions 524 to 776 of the family's 1533-position model. Lineage: Bacteria; Pseudomonadati; Pseudomonadota; Betaproteobacteria; Rhodocyclales; Zoogloeaceae. The record is from RNAcentral. RNAcentral also lists the same sequence under 1 other name.
UACGUAGGGUGCGAGCGUUAAUCGGAAUUACUGGGCGUAAAGCGUGCGCAGGCGGUUUGCUAAGACAGGUGUGAAAUCCCCGGGCUUAACCUGGGAACUGCGCUUGUAACUGGCAAGCUAGAGUGUGGCAGAGGGGGGUGGAAUUCCAGGUGUAGCAGUGAAAUGCGUAGAGAUCUGGAGGAACACCGAUGGCGAAGGCAGCCCCCUGGGCUAACACUGACGCUCAUGCACGAAAGCGUGGGGAGCAAACAGG